AAUACUACUGACUGACCGAUAGUGAACCAGUACCGUGAGGGAAAGGCGAAAAGAACCCCUGUGAGGGGAGUGAAAUAGAACCUGAAACCGUGUACGUACAAGCAGUAGGAGCAGGCUUUGUCCUGUGACUGCGUACCUUUUGUAUAAUGGGUCAGCGACUUAUAUUCAGUGGCAAGGUUAACCAUCUAGGGGAGCCGUAGGGAAACCGAGUCUUAACUGGGCGUUCAGUCUCUGGAUAUAGACCCGAAACCAGGUGAUCUAGCCAUGGGCAGGUUGAAGGUUGAGUAACAUCAACUGGAGGACCGAACCGACUAAUGUUGAAAAAUUAGCGGAUGACUUGUGGCUAGGGGUGAAAGGCCAAUCAAACCUGGAGAUAGCUGGUUCUCCCCGAAAGCUAUUUAGGUAGCGCCUCGGACGAAUACUACUGGGGGUAGAGCACUGUUAAGGCUAGGGGGUCAUCCCGACU
RNAcentral lists this ribosomal RNA (466 nucleotides) under Vibrio parahaemolyticus. Its description in RNAcentral is "partial 23S ribosomal RNA". It matches the Rfam family "Bacterial large subunit ribosomal RNA", at positions 469 to 936 of the family's 2925-position model. The record is from RNAcentral. Lineage: Bacteria; Pseudomonadati; Pseudomonadota; Gammaproteobacteria; Vibrionales; Vibrionaceae.